UUGGAGGGCAAGUCUGGUGCCAGCAGCCGCGGUAAUUCCAGCUCCAAUAGCGUAUAUUCAAGUUGUUGCAGUUAAAAAGCUCGUAGUUGAAUUUCGGGAUCAGUACGCUGGUCGUGCCUCUGGUAUGUACUGGUGUCACUGAUUCCUCCUUCCUGAUGAACUGUAAUGCCAUUAAUUUGGUGUUGCAGGGAAUCUGGACUGUUACUUUGAAAAAAUUAGAGUGUUUAAAGCAGGCUAACGCCUGAAUACAUUAGCAUGGAAUAAUGAAAUAGGACGUUCGAUCCUAUUUUGUUGGUUUCUAGGAUUGACGUAAUGAUUAAUAGGGAUAGUUGGGGGCAUUAGUAUUCAAUUGUCAGAGGUGAAAUUCUUGGAUUUAUUGAAGACUAACUACUGCGAAAGCAUUUGCCAAGGAUGUUUUCAUUAAUCAAGACCGAAAGUUAGGGGAUCGAAGACGAUCAGAUACCGUCGUAGUCUUAACCAUAAACUAUGCCGACUAGGAAUCAGACGAUGUUAAUUUUUUAAUGACUCGUUUGGCACCUUACGGGAAACCAAAGUGUUUGGGUUC
Molecule: ribosomal RNA, 565 nt
Filed under: uncultured Glomeromycotina
Lineage: Eukaryota; Fungi; Glomeromycota
Description: SSU rRNA
Rfam family: Eukaryotic small subunit ribosomal RNA
Source: RNAcentral